CUGUCACAACCGUGAGACUGCUCUAAAUGAAGGCUGAGUUUGAAGAUGGGUGGGGUCCGAGCCUUUCUCCUGCUGUCAGAAAACACACCGUCGUCUCCACCAGCGUAAAGUCAGACACAACAGGACUCUACUGUUUCCUCUGGAACCUUUCAGAAUAAAAUUUCCUUCUGAUGUCCACCAGAGGGCGCCAUGAUGUCACUCACCAGCACAGAGAUGAAAACAAACUGGGGACUUUGGGUCUGCUGCUUGGUCCCGGCGUCUCGUCUCGGGGCAGUGGCUGGAAGGAGUAGACGAGGUCACACUGAAACACAGAUCACAUCUCUAACAAACAUUUCUACGGUAACACAUGUCCGCAGUAGAGGUGUUGAAA
RNAcentral lists this long non-coding RNA (370 nucleotides) under Sander lucioperca (pikeperch). Its description in RNAcentral is "lncRNA (ENSSLUG00000019031.1)". The record is from RNAcentral. Lineage: Eukaryota; Metazoa; Chordata; Actinopteri; Perciformes; Percidae.